Molecule: ribosomal RNA, 126 nt
Filed under: Waitea circinata
Lineage: Eukaryota; Fungi; Basidiomycota; Agaricomycetes; Corticiales; Corticiaceae
Description: 5.8S ribosomal RNA
Rfam family: 5.8S ribosomal RNA
About the family: 5.8S ribosomal RNA (5.8S rRNA) is a component of the large subunit of the eukaryotic ribosome.
Source: RNAcentral
GCAUCGAUGAAGGACGUAGCGAAUUACGAUAUGUAAUGUGAAUUGCAGAAUUCAGUGAAUCAUCGAAUCUUUGAACGCACCUUGCGCUCUUUGGUAUUCCGAAGAGCAUGCCUGUUUGAGUGUCAU